UGGCCUAUACUGCCAGUCGAGCGAACUGAUUAGAAGCUUGCUUCUAUGACGUUAGCGGCGGACGGGUGAGUAACACGUGGGCAACCUGCCUGUAAGACUGGGAUAACUUCGGGAAACCGAAGCUAAUACCGGAUAGGAUCUUCUCCUUCAUGGGAGAUGAUUGAAAGAUGGUUUCGGCUAUCACUUACAGAUGGGCCCGCGGUGCAUUAGCUAGUUGGUGAGGUAACGGCUCACCAAGGCAACGAUGCAUAGCCGACCUGAGAGGGUGAUCGGCCACACUGGGACUGAGACACGGCCCAGACUCCUACGGGAGGCAGCAGUAGGGAAUCUUCCGCAAUGGACGAAAGUCUGACGGAGCAACGCCGCGUGAGUGAUGAAGGCUUUCGGGUCGUAAAACUCUGUUGUUAGGGAAGAACAAGUACGAGAGUAACUGCUCGUACCUUGACGGUACCUAACCAGAAAGCCACGGCUAACUACGUGCCAGCAGCCGCGGUAAUACGUAGGUGGCAAGCGUUAUCCGGAAUUAUUGGGCGUAAAGCGCGCGCAGGCGGUUUCUUAAGUCUGAUGUGAAAGCCCACGGCUCAACCGUGGAGGGUCAUUGGAAACUGGGGAACUUGAGUGCAGAAGAGAAAAGCGGAAUUCCACGUGUAGCGGUGAAAUGCGUAGAGAUGUGGAGGAACACCAGUGGCGAAGGCGGCUUUUUGGUCUGUAACUGACGCUGAGGCGCGAAAGCGUGGGGAGCAAACAGGGAUUAGAA
Molecule: ribosomal RNA, 757 nt
Filed under: Priestia aryabhattai
Lineage: Bacteria; Bacillati; Bacillota; Bacilli; Caryophanales; Bacillaceae
Description: bacterial SSU rRNA
Rfam family: Bacterial small subunit ribosomal RNA
Source: RNAcentral